GUGUUCUGUGGAUUCAUAUAUUCACGUGUCAUGCUGCUGGGAGAAAAUCAAGAGGGCAUGGAAGCCAUGGCUUGCCAUCAAUUAAGCCUGGAAGUCGACUACAUAACAUGCCCGUCCUCCGGGUCAGAGAAGCUCCCGGCGAGCUGCAACUGCUGCAUGGCUGGCAAAGGCUGCACGCUCCAUCUAUCCGGUGGGAUCAACCAAACUUGCAAUUAA
Molecule: ribosomal RNA, 216 nt
Filed under: Triticum aestivum (bread wheat)
Lineage: Eukaryota; Viridiplantae; Streptophyta; Magnoliopsida; Poales; Poaceae
Description: partial small subunit ribosomal RNA
Source: RNAcentral